This 120-nucleotide ribosomal RNA is filed under the name Amylostereum chailletii. RNAcentral's name for it is "5.8S ribosomal RNA". It matches the Rfam family "5.8S ribosomal RNA", at positions 4 to 123 of the family's 154-position model. From Rfam's summary of the family: 5.8S ribosomal RNA (5.8S rRNA) is a component of the large subunit of the eukaryotic ribosome. It is transcribed by RNA polymerase I as part of the 45S precursor that also contains 18S and 28S rRNA. The record is from RNAcentral. Lineage: Eukaryota; Fungi; Basidiomycota; Agaricomycetes; Russulales; Stereaceae.
UUUCAACAACGGAUCUCUUGGCUCUCGCAUCGAUGAAGAACGCAGCGAAAUGCGAUAAGUAAUGUGAAUUGCAGAAUUCAGUGAAUCAUCGAAUCUUUGAACGCACCUUGCGCCCCUUGG